RNAcentral lists this ribosomal RNA (774 nucleotides) under uncultured Neocallimastigales. Its description in RNAcentral is "partial large subunit ribosomal RNA". It matches the Rfam family "Eukaryotic large subunit ribosomal RNA", at positions 26 to 611 of the family's 3401-position model. Lineage: Eukaryota; Fungi; Neocallimastigomycota; Neocallimastigomycetes; Neocallimastigales. The record is from RNAcentral.
CGCAUCUGUGCAUGCAGCAUAUCAAUAAGCGGAGGAAAAGAAACUAACAAGGAUUCCCCUAGUAACGGCGAGUGAAGCGGGAAGAGCUCAAAUUUGAAAUCUUAAAGGGUUUCCCUUUACGAAUUGUAGUUUAAAGAAGUGUUUUCUGUUGAGGUUUUGGUAAAAGUUCUUUGGAAUAGGACAUCAUAGAGGGUGAGAAUCCCGUAUUUGACCUUUACUUUCAACUUUGUGAUACACUUUCAAAGAGUCGGAUUGUUUGGGAAUGCAGUCCAAAAUGGGUGGUAAAUUUCAUCUAAAGCUAAAUAUUGGCGAGAGACCGAUAGCGAACAAGUACCGUGAGGGAAAGAUGAAAAGAACUUUGAAAAGAGAGUUAAACAGUACGUGAAAUUGUCAAAAGGGAAGCGUUUGACACCAGUGUUGUUUUUCUGAAAAUCAAUUAAAGAACUGUUUAUGCUAAGUUGUUUAGACUUUAUCAGCUAACUGUUUAGUUUUGAGCUUUUCUUUAAUGCACUUUUCAGUUAACAAGUCAACAUCAAUUUCUUUUGCUGUAAAAAAGCUUGAGGAAGGUGGCUUGAGAUUCGUCUUAAGUGUUUAUAGCCUCUUGCCUAUGCAGUCGGAGAGAUUGAGGUCUGCAGCGUAGAUCCUUCGGGGCUAAAUGCAUUUGCGCUAAGUUAUAGCAUUUUAUAGACAACUUGUUGACUAUGAUUUGUCUUGUAGCUUACUCGCUUAUGUUAUUUUACCUACGCUUAGGAUGUUGAACGCGCACAGAGUCUC